This 497-nucleotide ribosomal RNA is filed under the name uncultured bacterium. Its description in RNAcentral is "partial 16S ribosomal RNA". It matches the Rfam family "Bacterial small subunit ribosomal RNA", at positions 28 to 507 of the family's 1533-position model. The record is from RNAcentral.
GAUGAACGCUGGCGGCGUGCCUAAUACAUGCCAGUCGAGCGAACAGAUGAGGAGCUUGCUCCUCUGACGUUAGCGGCGGACGGGUGAGUAACACGUGGAUAACCUACCUAUAAGACUGGGAUAACUUCGGGAAACCGGAGCUAAUACCGGAUAAUAUAUUGAACCGCAUGGUUCAAUAGUGAAAGACGGUUUUGCUGUCACUUAUAGAUGGAUCCGCGCCGCAUUAGCUAGUUGGUAAGGUAACGGCUUCCCAAGGCAACGAUGCGUAGCCGACCUGAGAGGGUGAUCGGCCACACUGGAAAUGAGACACGGUCCAGACUGCUACGGGAGGCAGAAGUAGGGAAUCUUCCGCAAUGGGCGAAAGUUUGACGGAGCAACGCCGCGUGAGUGAUGAAGGUCUUCGGAUCGUAAAACUUUGUUAUUAGGGAAGAACAAAUGUGUAAGUAACUAUGCACGUAUUGACGGUACCUAAUAAGAAAGCCACGGCUAACUUCGUG